Non-coding RNA from Pogona vitticeps (central bearded dragon), 612 nucleotides. The record is from RefSeq and is a predicted model, not a curated record. NCBI's taxonomy places the organism in Eukaryota, Metazoa, Chordata, Lepidosauria, Squamata, Agamidae.
UUUCAGCUUCUAAAACAGCAUAGCUGCUCAAAAAAAUCCAUAUGGGAGAAAGGAAUCUUAAUGCAAGAUCAGCCCUUUGAUGACUUACAGAAAAAUUCCAACACAUAUCGGCCGGACAAAGCCAACGCUUGAAGGCUCGCUAAUUUCGACUAGAUAGCCUUUCACGUGGAGGACCCUUUCAAGGAGAGGAAUUAUCCUCUUGAAAUCCUUCAAAUGGAAGGUUGUCCUCCAUCAAAGAGCCCAAGGAACCAUCCUAUCAGCCGUGCUUGAGCCUACAGGUUGCCCUGCCCACGCUGGCUGGAGGAUUUUUGGGAUAUUAGCACAGAAGAAUAACUUCUCCAUGCUGCGGUUGCUUUGCUAGUGAGAUCUGGGUGGCCUCCGGGGACAGGUGGGCUUCAAGCUUUCUCCGUGGCUGAAAAACUGCACCCUCUGACCAGUCUAAAUCUGCGCCAGAACAGAACGCUCGGCAAGAGUUGACCUAACCCUUGGCAAUGACACAGCCGAGCCCAGCAAAAUCUGUGCCCGUCAAGAGAUUCUCCUAGGCGAGACGUGUCCUUGUUCAACACCAGCCAAAACUUUUGUCUUUUCUCCUCAGCCUACCCAAGGCUGCCU